GAUGAACGCUAGCGGCAGGCCUAACACAUGCAAGUCGAGGGGUAUAGUAGCAAUACUAGAGACCGGCGCACGGGUGCGUAACGCGUAUGCAAUCUACCUUUUACAGGGGAAUAGCCCAGAGAAAUUUGGAUUAAUGCCCCAUAGUAUAUAAGAAUCGCAUGGUUUUUAUAUUAAAGUUCCAACGGUAAAAGAUGAGCAUGCGUCCCAUUAGUUAGUUGGUAAGGUAACGGCUUACCAAGACUAUGAUGGGUAGGGGUCCUGAGAGGGAGAUCCCCCACACUGGUACUGAGACACGGACCAGACUCCUACGGGAGGCAGCAGUGAGGAAUAUUGGACAAUGGGCGCAAGCCUGAUCCAGCCAUGCCGCGUGCAGGAAGACGCAUCUAUGGUGUGUAAACUGCUUUUGUACAGGAAGAAACACUCCCUCGUGAGGGAGCUUGACGGUACUGUAAGAAUAAGGAUCGGCUAACUCCGUGCCAGCAGCCGCGGUAAUACGGAGGAUCCAAGCGUUAUCCGGAAUCAUUGGGUUUAAAGGGUCCGUAGGCGGUUUAAUAAGUCAGUGGUGAAAGCCCAUCGCUCAACGAUGGAACGGCCAUUGAUACUGUUAGACUUGAAUUAUUAGGAAGUAACUAGAAUAUGUAGUGUAGCGGUGAAAUGCUUAGAUAUUACAUGGAAUACCAAUUGCGAAGGCAGGUUACUACUAAUGGA
This 708-nucleotide ribosomal RNA is filed under the name uncultured bacterium. RNAcentral describes it as "bacterial SSU rRNA". It matches the Rfam family "Bacterial small subunit ribosomal RNA", at positions 28 to 739 of the family's 1533-position model. The record is from RNAcentral.